This 1061-nucleotide long non-coding RNA is filed under the name Brassica napus (rape). RNAcentral describes it as "long non-coding RNA (BNAP_LNC019872)". Lineage: Eukaryota; Viridiplantae; Streptophyta; Magnoliopsida; Brassicales; Brassicaceae. The record is from RNAcentral.
GAGUGGAACUAGUGAGGUGUGUUAGGGUUUGUUGGUUAGAGGUAGCGGCAUCAUGGUCAGGGGUCACACUUGUAGUACGAUAGUUGGGGUCAGAGGUGGUGUGGUGUGGUAUGGAUGUUAUGUUGUUACAUAUUAUUAGCUUGUUACCUUAGUGGGGAGAAGAAGGGUUGGUGACAUGUCGUGAGUAUUAUGGUAGUUGUCAUACACAUCCACGGAUAUUUGAUAAAAAGUUUAGUUGGCAAAACACUCAAGAUCAUCCUGUCUAAAUAUUGGAGAGGUACACGUUGGGUCACCCGUGCGGAUGUGGUUAGCAUCCUCUGUUUUCUGACCACAUGAAUCCCAGAUGAAGUGUUUAAAGGUGAGUUUAAUAAGAAAGGAAUGUAACCGAAGGGGAGAAAACAGAGGGGAGACAUUUAUUAAUAAAUAACUUAGAACGUGUUUUAAAAGAAACGAAACUGAUCUUUUUUGGUUUUAUCUUUCUCUUUCCAAUCAAGGGCAAUUUUGUCUAAACAAAAUCAAAAAGCAAGUCUAAAGUACACUACCAGCAAGAAUUAUGUCAAAGUGUAAGGGUCUAAGACUAAGAUAUGUCUGUAUGUUAAUCUCUCUUUUUUUUUUAACACUUUAUAAUAUUUUCUUAUACAUUGAAAAAGAACGUUUUUAGUGGUGCCCCGAUGUUAUGCCUCCUGAUUGGUAAAGUGUGUUUGCAUUUCGUCUUUUUCAGCUGUAGCCUAUUGUAAUCCAUCGCCUCCUUCCACCGUCUCUUUUUCUUCUUCAAAUUAUGUGGUGGUUUAUUUUCAUCCUCUAUCAACAAAAUCAUAUCUUCUCCUCCUCUACAUGAUUCUUUUCUUUCCCUACUUCAUCAACUUCACCUCUGGUCAUUUCUCCUCAAUCACCUCCAUCUGUGUACGGUAUGACCAUUACCAGCAUUGCUUUAUUCUCCUUCACCACCGUCACGACCCGUUAUAACCAGUUUUCUCCUUAACUCUUCCCACGGUCUCUUAUUCUAUUUCAUUUCUUGUACAAGAAACAAUUUUUUUUUCUCCGCCGCUGCUGUGAGAUAC